GAGAACACCCGAAACCGAGAACAUUUCGUGUCUAAUUCAAUCAUUCUAACCACCAAUCACAAACAACAACAAAGCCAAAAGCAAACAAACAAGGCUUGAUUCUCGGACAACCUAAUAGGUUCAACGAUAUCAAUGCAUCAACAGAGGCAAAAGUAAGGGUUUAGAUUAAUGGUACCUCUUUAAUAGACUCUUCCUAUGCUCGAUCGAUGACCAAUUGGCUUUUGUUUUUAAAGCCACAACACCGACGGAGAGGAGUCGCCGCCGCUUUGGACUACUGCAGAGAAGUUGCCGCCGCCUCGGAUGAUUGGAGCGGAGUCGCCGCCGCCUCGGACGCAUGGAAAGGACUCGACGCCGAAGCUUUUGUUGGAGACGAGUCGCAGUUCCUUGGAAUCGUCGAUAUCUUUACUUGCUUAGAAGUUAGAAGUGUUAGUUAGAGCAUCAUUAUCCCUGUAUACCAUAUAGGUUUCUUAGUUAAUUUUUAAUUAAUAAAUUUAGGUUAAGAACCUUUCUUAAAAAAUUAUGUUUUUUAUGCUUUAAC
This 538-nucleotide long non-coding RNA is filed under the name Eutrema salsugineum. Its description in RNAcentral is "long non-coding RNA (ESAL_LNC001926)". Lineage: Eukaryota; Viridiplantae; Streptophyta; Magnoliopsida; Brassicales; Brassicaceae. The record is from RNAcentral.